Non-coding RNA from Paramisgurnus dabryanus, 1213 nucleotides. NCBI's taxonomy places the organism in Eukaryota, Metazoa, Chordata, Actinopteri, Cypriniformes, Cobitidae. The record is from RefSeq and is a predicted model, not a curated record.
AAACUCAACAUGUCACAGUCAAUUGUUGUUGGCAAUACUGGCUGAUCCUGCUGACGGUGUGUCCAGCUUGUUCUCUUCUCUCAGUUUCUCUGGGUUUUCUUUGUGGUACAAACUGUUAUCACAGAAAAGGGCUCAAUGAGUCUAGAGGUUCUUUAAGCACUUCUGAGGUCCAAAGGCAGGAACAGACCCAGGAACAGGAUGAUAUUGAAGAGGUUUGCUAUACAUCACUGAAUAUGCCCAGACGAGGAAGCAAACCAAAGAGAAGCAAGCGAAUGCCAAGUGAUGACUUCAGUGUGUACAACGAUAUUAAAAUAUCCUAAUAAGUGAUAAAUGACACUGAUGUAUAAAAAUAAUAGCAUUCAUGGUGAUAUAAGACUGAUUAACUUGUUGAGGUGCAGUAAUGCAUUUACUUAUUACAUGGCUACUUUGUGCACAUGGCCAAAAUAUGUAUUUGAAUUUAAAUAUUUUAUGUGAGAAAAUGAGACUGCAAGUGAUAGACAUGUAUAGCUAUACUGUACUUUUUGAAUGAAACAAUAAUCUCUAAAAAUGUCUGGGUUAUUUUUGACCCAUAAUGGGUAAAGAACACACCCAAUGAUAAAAUGAACACAAUGCUGGGUUGUUUUUACCCAACUGCUUGGUUAUUAUACUCCAUGGUUGCAUAACAACAACAACAACCCAACAUUGGGUCUUUUUUAACACAGCAUGUGUUCUGUCCAAUAUUUAACCAUGGGUCAAAAAUAACCCAGCCAUUUUUUGAGUGUAGACAAUUUGCUGGUAUUUAUAUAAAAAUAUUUGUCUGCAAAAUGUUGUGAUUGACCAGGGUCUUAAUAAUAAUAGUAAUAAUAAUAUGUAUGUUGCUUGAUGUUUCUAUAAGUCACAUUCAUAUGUAGUUUACUGUGAUGAGAUAAGAAGUCAAAUAUGUAUAAAUAUUUUAUUUAUCCAAAUUAUUUCAAUUAUUCAGAUCUAUGGAAUUGAACAUACCAACAGCUUGUAGGUCGUAUCCUGUUUCAUGUGAACCAAAGUUGUUGGUGGAAACAAAGUGUUGUUUUUAAAUGGAGCGGAAACAAAGAUGCAGUAUGUGAGAUACCUUGAGGACUUUGAUUCUCACAAAAGUCCAUCUGCAUUAAAAACUAUAAAGUUAUUUUACUUCACACACAGUUAAGUAAACAAGUAAAUAUUUUUUCUAUAUUGCGAAUUUCUUUGUUAACUUACU